AGAAUGAACGCUGGCGGCGUGCUUAACACAUGCAAGUCGAACGGAAUACAAGGAGCUUGCUCCGAACUAUUUAGUGGCGAACGGGUGAGUAUCACGUGAGCAACCUGCCCCGAAGACUGGGAUAACACCGGGAAACCGGUGCUAAUACCGGACGUCUUUCAAUGAUCGCAUGAUCGAUGAAAGAAAUGUUUUUUCGCUUUGGGAGGGGCUCGCGGUCCAUCAGCUUGUUGGCGGGGUAACGGCCCACCAAGGCUACGACGGAUAGCUGGUCUGAGAGGACGAUCAGCCACACUGGAACUGAGACACGGUCCAGACUCCUAUGGGAGGCAGCAGUGGGGAAUCUUGCGCAAUGGACGAAAGUCUGACGCAGCAACGCCGCGUGAGGGACGAAGGCUUUCUGAGUUGUAAACUUCUUUCGACAGGAACGAUUGUGACGGUACCUGUAGAAGAAGCACCGGCCAACUAUGUGCCAGCAGCCGCGGUGAUACAUAGGGUGCGAGCGUUAUUCGGAUUUAUUGGGCGUAAAGAGCUCGUAGGCGGUUCGACAAGUCGGGUGUUAAACCCCCAGGCUCAACCUGGGGCCGCCACCCGAAACUGUCGUGACUAGAGUUUGGUAGGGGAUCACGGAAUUCCUGGUGUAGCGGUGGAAUGCGCAGAUAUCAGGAGGAACACCAGUAGCGAAGGCGGUGAUCUGGGCCAAUACUGACGCUGAGGAGCGAAAGCGUGGGGAGCGAACAGGAUUAGAUACCCUGGUAGUCCACGCCGUAAACGGUGGGCACUAGGUGUGGGGACUUUUCAACGGUUUCCGCGCCGCAGCUAACGCAUUAAGUGCCCCGCCUGGGGAGUACGGUCGCAAGACUAAA
RNAcentral lists this ribosomal RNA (863 nucleotides) under uncultured soil bacterium. RNAcentral describes it as "bacterial SSU rRNA". It matches the Rfam family "Bacterial small subunit ribosomal RNA", at positions 26 to 898 of the family's 1533-position model. The record is from RNAcentral.